RNAcentral lists this ribozyme (164 nucleotides) under Camelus bactrianus (Bactrian camel). RNAcentral describes it as "Hovlinc ribozyme (hominin vlincRNA-located)". It matches the Rfam family "Hovlinc ribozyme (hominin vlincRNA-located)". Rfam says of the family: Hovlinc is a recently evolved class of self-cleaving ribozyme found in a very long non coding RNA (vlincRNA) in hominins, including humans (genus Homo), and chimpanzees and bonobos (genus Pan), but missing in gorillas (genus Gorilla). RNAcentral also lists the same sequence under 1 other name. The record is from Rfam by way of RNAcentral. Lineage: Eukaryota; Metazoa; Chordata; Mammalia; Artiodactyla; Camelidae.
ACUUGGACCAAACCCAGGAAUAAGGUACCUCAGAACUGGAUGGGCCGUGUGCUUAACCAGGACAAGAUCUUCUCUCCAACAUUGUUGCCAACUCAUGAUUCUCCUAACCUGUGCUUGGAGAGACAUGGACCCAGAGUCAGAGGACCUCUGACUUCCACUGCUAG